CGAGUCUGCCUUGAAGAUCGGAGUGCUUGCACUCUGUGAAACAAGAUACAGGCUAGCGGCGGACGGGUGAGUAACACGUGGGUAACCUGCCCAAGAGAUCGGGAUAACACCUGGAAACAGAUGCUAAUACCGGAUAACAACAGAUGAUGCCUAUCAACUGUUUAAAAGAUGGUUCUGCUAUCACUCUUGGAUGGACCUGCGGUGCAUUAGCUAGUUGGUAGGGUAACGGCCCACCAAGGCGAUGAUGCAUAGCCGAGUUGAGAGACUGAUCGGCCACAUUGGGACUGAGACACGGCCCAAACUCCUACGGGAGGCAGCAGUAGGGAAUCUUCCACAAUGGACGCAAGUCUGAUGGAGCAACGCCGCGUGAGUGAAGAAGGGUUUCAGCUCGUAAAGCUCUGUUGUUGGUGAA
This 412-nucleotide ribosomal RNA is filed under the name uncultured Lactobacillus sp. RNAcentral's name for it is "bacterial SSU rRNA". It matches the Rfam family "Bacterial small subunit ribosomal RNA", at positions 58 to 446 of the family's 1533-position model. The record is from RNAcentral. Lineage: Bacteria; Bacillati; Bacillota; Bacilli; Lactobacillales; Lactobacillaceae.